GACGAACGCUGGCGGCGUGCUUAACACAUGCAAGUCGAACGGAAAGGCCCUGCUUUUGUGGGGUGCUAGAGUGGCGCACGGGUGUGUAACACGUGAGUAACCUGCCCUUGACUUUGGGAUAACUUCAGGAAACUGCGGCUACUACCGGCUAGGAGCUCCUGCUGCAUGGUGGGGGUUGGACAGUUUCGGCGGUUGGGGAUGGACUCGCGGCUUACCAGCUUGUUGGUGGGGUAGUGGCUUACCAAGGCUUUGGCGGAUAGCCGGCCUGGGAGGGUGGACGGCGACAUUGGGACUGCGAUACGGACCAGACGCCAACGGGAGGCAGCAGUGGGGAAUAUUGCACAAUGGGCGGAAGCCUGAUGCAGCAACGCCGGGUGCGGGAUGACGGCCUUCGGGUGGUAAACCGCUUUCGCCUGUGACGAAGCUUGAGUGACGGUAAUGGGUAAAGAAGCACCGGCUAACUACGUG
RNAcentral lists this ribosomal RNA (468 nucleotides) under uncultured bacterium. RNAcentral's name for it is "partial 16S ribosomal RNA". It matches the Rfam family "Bacterial small subunit ribosomal RNA", at positions 28 to 507 of the family's 1533-position model. The record is from RNAcentral.